Molecule: non-coding RNA, 854 nt
Organism: Paramuricea clavata
Lineage: Eukaryota; Metazoa; Cnidaria; Anthozoa; Malacalcyonacea; Plexauridae
Source: the annotation of a GenBank genome assembly
UGAAAUUCAUGAAAACUAUGCCUAGUUUUUAUUUAGAAUUUACACUUACGUUAUUUGUUUUGUUUUUCGAAAUGCCAGGUGAGCAGAAUGCAAAGUUAAACCUAGUUUUGUCCCUGAGUGUGGAAAAGUAAAAAUCUUUCAUAAUGUACUUUUGACCGACCUUUAAACAUGACGAUAACAACCCUUAUGAGCCAUGAAUGAGAAAUAAGAAGAAAUAGAUAGUAUAUUAUUAUUUAUUUAUUAUUAUAAGUAUUUAUUUAUUCAUUUUACUUCACUAAAAAUUCACAUUUCACAGGUAUUUAUUUAUUUCUUGUUUACUUUACUAAAAAUUCACAUUUCACAGGUAUUUAUUUAUCCUUUGUUUACUUUACUAAAAAUCCACAUUGUUUCCUGCCAAUGUUCCCAAGCCGGCCAAGGUGGGCAAACGGAGAAACAAUGUUUCCGCAACUAUAAUCUUAGUCUGAACUUGGUAGGAAACAUUCUUGUUUCCCAAGAAGCAAAAUUUGUUUCUGCAACAAUGUUUCCACAGGUGGGCAAAUGGGAAAACAUUUGAGGAAACAUUGAGAAUCACUAAUGUUUCUGCAACAAUAUUUCUUAGUUUGGGCUUAAUUAUACACAAAAAAACAAACAUAAACCUGAUAUUUGUGAUGUUACUCUGAGUGUAUAUCCACACCGGGCGAGCUUGAAAAAUAUGCCCGGCCAUGGUGGGAUUCGAACCUACGACCUUUGGAAUACUAGCCAAAAAAAAAUCAUAUUACUAGAAUACAUUGGUAUCGAAGGAACUAGAUUCAGUUCCUAAAUAUCACUUACUCGAACCAUCCUGACCGCGUAGCUCAGUUGGAAGAGCAUUGGGC